This 497-nucleotide ribosomal RNA is filed under the name uncultured bacterium. Its description in RNAcentral is "partial 16S ribosomal RNA". It matches the Rfam family "Bacterial small subunit ribosomal RNA", at positions 28 to 507 of the family's 1533-position model. The record is from RNAcentral.
GACGAACGCUGGCGGCGUGCCUAAUACAUGCAAGUCGAGCGAACAGACCCUGCUCUUGCUCCUCUCACGUUAGCCGCGCACGUGUGUGUAACACGUGUAUACCCUCCCUAUCAUACUGGUAUCACUUCGGGACACCGGAGCUUAUACCGGAUAAUCUCUUGAACCGCAUGGUUCAAUAGUAAAAGACGGUUUUUCUGUCACUUAUAGAUGGAUCCGCGCCGCAUUUGCUAGUUGUUACUGUAAAGGCUUUCUAAGGCAAGUAUGCGUAGCCGACGUGAGAGAGUGAUCGGCGACACUGGAAGGGGAACACGGUCCAGGGUCCUGCGGGAGGCAGCAGUAGGGAAUCUUCCGCAAUGGGGGAAAGCAUGACGGAGCGGCGCCACGUGAGUGGUGAAAGUCUUCGGAUCGUAAAAAUCGGUUAUUAGGGGAAAACAAAUGUGGAAGUAACUAUGCACGGCGUGACGGUACCUAAUCAGAAAGCCACGGCUAACUACGUG